UAAAGUUUAAUUCUAACUUAAAAAUUUAUUUAAUUUUUUUUUUACAUGUAAAUUUUUGUAUGAAUAAUAAUUAAAUUUUAAUAAUUUAGUUAAAAUAGUUUAUUCGCAGUAUUUAGUUUUAAUAAUUUAAGAAAUUAAGAAUUAGAAAUAUAUUUUAAUAUUAACAAAUUUUGUGCCAGCAGUUGCGGUUAUACAAAAAAUAUAAAUAAAUUUUAUUGGUAAAUAAUUAUAAUGAUUAUUUAAUAUAAAUUAAGAUUAUAUAUAUUAGGUGAAAUUUUAUUUAUUAAAUUAGUUUAUAAUAAAGAUUUAAUUAUUAUGAAAUUUAUAUUUAAACUAGGAUUAGAUACCCUAUUAUUUUAAAUGUAAAUUAAUUUUACUAAAGUAGUAUUAGUUAUGUUCUUGAAAUUUAAAGAUUUUGGCGGUAUUUUAGUCUAUUUAGAGGAACCUGUUCUGUAAUUGAUAGUCCACGAUUUACUUUACUUAUUUUAAAAAUUUGUAUACCGUCGUUAUAAGAAAAUUUUAUUAGAAUUUAAUUUUUAAUAUUUUAAAUAAAAAAAUAUAUCAGAUCAAGGUGCAGUUUAUAUUUAAGAAGAAAUGGGUUACAAUAAAUUUAUUUAUAUGGAUUAAAAUUAGAAUUUAAUUUUAUAAAGGUGGAUUUAAAAGUAAUAAAAUUUAAAUAAAUUUUAUGAUUUUAGCUCUAAAAUAUGUACAUAUCGCCCGUCACUCUUAUUUUUAAGAUAAGAUAAGUCGUAACAUAGUAGAUGUACUGGAAAGUGUAUCUAGAAUGUCA
RNAcentral lists this non-coding RNA (790 nucleotides) under Harpalinae sp. 2 ACP-2013. Lineage: Eukaryota; Metazoa; Arthropoda; Insecta; Coleoptera; Carabidae. The record is from RNAcentral.